UGACUCAAACGAAACUUGUAGGGUGG
This 26-nucleotide non-coding RNA is filed under the name Mus musculus (house mouse). Lineage: Eukaryota; Metazoa; Chordata; Mammalia; Rodentia; Muridae. The record is from RNAcentral.